Long non-coding RNA from Pseudopipra pipra, 1068 nucleotides. RefSeq lists it as uncharacterized. The record is from RefSeq and is a predicted model, not a curated record. The transcript has 2 exons. NCBI's taxonomy places the organism in Eukaryota, Metazoa, Chordata, Aves, Passeriformes, Pipridae.
GCACUCUGCAAAGUGCAACAGAAUCACAGGAUCAGAAUCACAGAACUCUGAGGACAGAAGUGAGACCUGCAAGAGGACACAGGACUCAGAGGGAUGCAGCUGAAGUGGUAACUGUGGGUCAUGCAAACAACUUGGCAUAUCACACCACCAGGAACACCAAGAUUCACACACAGUCCUGAUUUUGGGUUCUGCUCAGUCUGGAGAGGGACAGACUGUGAAAAAACCCAGACGUUACCUGGCACUCACCAAAACCAGCCUGGAGGCCACGGUGCUUCACCCUAAGAGAUAACCCUACCUCGGGGAUCUAAGCUACGAGCUCUCCAGCCCAAAACUGCCCCUCUCCCGGCUGCACGGUGGGUUCCUGCAGCCACUAGAGGACAGCCGUGUCCUCAACAAUCCAGCUGUGCUCCCGGCCCCGGAAAAUCCACCUCUGCCAGAGGGACACAGCGCUCCCUGCACUGCCAGCACCCUCCUCCCCCAGCCACGUCUCCACAGAGGACAUUUCCACAUGACAUAAAGACCUCACACCUCUGGCCCACGGGGCAUGUUCUGGAAGGUGCUAAGAACCCUCCUGUGUCUGGAAGGUAAUGAAAGCCUGAGUGUUCAGCCCUUCCCAGGAUGGGGCUCUUAGAGAGUCUCCUCUACCUGUAACUACACUGAGUCACCUCCAAGCUGUUUUCCCACGGCCUUCUCUGACCCUGAGCAAUCACUGCCUGGUUUGGGCAGAAAUCCAACACCUUCACCUCAAGUCAGGAAGGCUCUACACGAUCAGUGCCUCUGGAAAUUAAGACAGCUGAGCCUCCCAGGUUUGCAGUAACCAGCCUGAUUUCCCAACUGAGAUAUCACAUUACAGAGAAAAAACGUUCGCAUUCCGUCCUUCCUCUGGUCGUUGCUCCCCAGGAGUCCUCUGUCAGUUCUUACCCCUGGUUUUGUAGGGGUCUGGGGGCCAAGGGGCUCAGUUCUUCCUACCUCAGGACAGGUGGCUUGUCUCUGGUUUGGGGUCACGAUCAGAUUCGUCAUGACAAAGAAGACGCUUUCACCCUAAUAUAAACAGAGUAAAGCAGGAAA